CUCAGUAACGGCGAGUGAAGCGGUAACAGCUCUGAUUUGAAAUCUGGCCCUUUUAUGGUCCGAGUUGUAAUUUGUACAAAAUGCUUUGGGUGUGGCUCCGGUCUAAGUUCCUUGGAACAGGACGUCAUAGAGGGUGAGAAUCCCGUAUGUGACUGGCGGGCUUCGCCCGUGUAAAGCUCUUUCGACGAGUCGAGUUGUUUGGGAAUGCAGCUCUAAAUGGGAGGUAUAUUUCUUCUAAAGCUAAAUACUGGCCAGAGACCGAUAGCGCACAAGUAGAGUGAUCGAAAGAUGAAAAGCACUUUGGAAAGAGAGUUAAACAGUACGUGAAAUUGUUGAAAGGGAAGCGCUUGCAACCAGACUUGCGUGCCGUCGAUCAUCGUGGGUUCUCCCGCGUGCACUCGGCGGCGUUCAGGCCAGCAUCGGUUCCGGUGGUUGGAUAAAGGCCUUGGGAAUGUGGCUCCUCUCGGGGAGUGUUAUAGCCCUCGGUGCAAUGCAGCCUACUGGGACCGAGGACCGCGCUUCGGCUAGGAUGCUGGCGUAAUGGUUGUAAGCGACCCGUCUUGAAACACGGACCAAGGAGUCUAACAUCUAUGCGAGUGGUUAGGGUGUUAAACCCUUCCGCGAAAUUAACGUGAACGGAGGUACGAACCCUUUAGGGCGCAGUAUCGACCGGUCCUGAUGUCUUCGGAUGGAUCUGAGUAAAAGCAUAGCUGUUGGGACCCGAAAGAUGGUGAACUAUGCCUGAAUAGGGUGAAGCCAGAGGAAACUCUGGUGGAGGCUCGCAGCGGUUCUGACGUGCAAAUCGAUCGUCAAAUUAGGGCAUAGGGGCGAAAGACUAAUCGAACCAUCGGAACCUAACUACUAGGUGGUUAAGAGAGCUCUUCUAGUGCCGGGUCGGCUCGACCCGGGGCAUACCGUCAAUUGCGGGGACUCCCGUAGGAUG
RNAcentral lists this ribosomal RNA (943 nucleotides) under Dicephalospora aurantiaca. RNAcentral's name for it is "partial large subunit ribosomal RNA". It matches the Rfam family "Eukaryotic large subunit ribosomal RNA", at positions 79 to 1409 of the family's 3401-position model. Lineage: Eukaryota; Fungi; Ascomycota; Leotiomycetes; Helotiales; Helotiaceae. The record is from RNAcentral.